AUGAAGAGGGAGAAUGCUGGCAGCUGGAAUUCUGGAAUGGAAAAGGAGCAAAUAAUAGAGACCUAUUCUGCACAACUCCAAAAGUUCCGAAACUUCACGGAACUUUUUUUUGGAAUAUAUAAAAAAUAUUGGGUGAAGAAAGUACCAGAGCGGAACCACCAGCCAGCCACAAGGGUGGAGGGCGCGCCCUACCCCCCUAGGCACGCCCCCCGACCUUGUGGGCCCCCUGGAAGGCCUCCGGUGCCCAUCUUUGGCUAUAUGGUGUGUUCUGACCUGGAAAAAAAUCAAGAGGAAGCUUUUGGGACAAAGUGCCGCCGUCUCGAGGCAGAACCUGGGUAG
This 339-nucleotide ribosomal RNA is filed under the name Triticum aestivum (bread wheat). Its description in RNAcentral is "partial small subunit ribosomal RNA". Lineage: Eukaryota; Viridiplantae; Streptophyta; Magnoliopsida; Poales; Poaceae. The record is from RNAcentral.